UAAUUGGGCGUUAAGUUGCAGGGUAUAGACCCGAAACCCGGUGAUCUAGCCAUGGGCAGGUUGAAGGUUGGGUAACACUAACUGGAGGACCGAACCGACUAAUGUUGAAAAAUUAGCGGAUGACCUGUGGCUGGGGGUGAAAGGCCAAUCAAACCGGGAGAUAGCUGGUUCUCCCCGAAAGCUAUUUAGGUAGCGCCUCGUGAAUUCAUCUCCGGGGGUAGAGCACUGUUUCGGCUAGGGGGCCAUCCCGGCUUACCAACCCGAUGCAAACUGCGAAUACCGGAGAAUGUUAUCACGGGAGACACACGGCGGGUGCUAACGUCCGUCGUGAAGAGGGAAACAACCCAGACCGCCAGCUAAGGUCCCAAAGUCAUGGUUAAGUGGGAAACGAUGUGGGAAGGCCCAGACAGCCAGGAUGUUGGCUUAGAAGCAGCCAUCAUUUAAAGAAAGCGUAAUAGCUCACUGGUCGAGUCGGCCUGCGCGGAAGAUGUAACGGGGCUAAACCAUGCACCGAAGCUGCGGCAGCGA
Molecule: ribosomal RNA, 528 nt
Filed under: Salmonella enterica subsp. enterica serovar Adelaide str. A4-669
Lineage: Bacteria; Pseudomonadati; Pseudomonadota; Gammaproteobacteria; Enterobacterales; Enterobacteriaceae
Description: LSU rRNA
Rfam family: Bacterial large subunit ribosomal RNA
Source: RNAcentral